CACCAGACUCCUACGGGAGGCAGCAGUGAGGAAUAUUGGUCAAUGGGCGCGAGCCUGAACCAGCCAAGUCGCGUGAGGGAAGACGGUCCUAUGGAUUGUAAACCUCUUUUGUCGGGGAGCAAAAGACGCCACGCGUGGCGUUCCGAGAGUACCCGAAGAAAAAGCAUCGGCUAACUCCGUGCCAGCAGCCGCGGUAAUACGGAGGAUGCGAGCGUUAUCCGGAUUUAUUGGGUUUAAAGGGUGCGCAGGCGGAAGAUCAAGUCGGGGGUAAAAUUGAGAGGCUCAACCUCUUCGAGCCGUUGAAACUGGUUUUCUUGAGUGAGCGAGAAGGAUGCGGAAUGCGUGGUGUAGCGGUGAAAUGCAUAGAUAUAACGCAGAACUCCGAUUGCGAAGGCAGCAUACCGGCGCUCAACUGACGCUCAUGCACGAAAGUGUGGGGAUCGAACAGGAUUAGAUACCCUGGUAUAC
This 468-nucleotide ribosomal RNA is filed under the name uncultured bacterium. RNAcentral describes it as "bacterial SSU rRNA". It matches the Rfam family "Bacterial small subunit ribosomal RNA", at positions 329 to 795 of the family's 1533-position model. The record is from RNAcentral.